ACCGAUUCCCGAAACAAGGCGUCUAUAAGAAACUUGGAAAGAAAAGAAAACUAACUUGUUCUCUUUCUCUCUCUGCAUUUGUUCAAUCAACAAUGUCAAUGGCUUCUCCUUCUUCAAGAAGCCAAACGUCGACGUCGAGCGCGAGAAUUCGAAGAGGAGGUGCAUGUGUUCUCCAACGAAUCACCCUGGCUCGUUGAGUUGUCGGAGGCUGAACCUUCUCAGAGUGGAAGGUACUCUCUCUGCAAAUUAGAAUGCACUAAAAAAUUUCAUCGCAUGCAGCAUAAUUUCAUCAAUCUCAAAAAAAUUUGAGCGCAUCAUAGGUAGAUGUAUCUCAAGUUGAACUUUGAAGUGAUCAAAUGCUUCAAUUAAUUGAAUCUAUCAAAGUUACAUAUAGAAGUCAAGACAAACUGUUGGAAACCGCUGAGCACCCAGUUGAGGGGUCAGCUGAAGAUAUCUUCCUCAACGACAAAAAUAAAUAAAUAAAUAAAGGCAGUUUACAAUAUUUAUGUGCUUUCUUCCUGUCUUGUGCAUUAACUCGCCAACUCCAUGCGAUUUCAUUAUUUCAAGCUCUCAUUGGAUGAAAAAUAAACUUCCAUAAUGUUAUGGUUUCAUUAUCUGAUGUGAUUAAUUUGUAUCGAGUUGGGCAAAACUACUAUAACUGUAAGUGGCAAAACUAUCUGGAUAUAACAAGUCUUGGGGUGCUGUAUUAGGUCAUAUUGUGUAAUAACUGAAAACCAACAAUGGAUGUAGUUUUUUUUCUUUUAUUGGUACAACUGUACAAGGAUGUAGCUCUUUUUAUUUACUGCCAGUAGUAAAGGUGCUUUCCUCUCCUCUCUCUGAAUAGCUUAAAAGUUUGUAAAAGCUGAAUUUUUUAGAACGAUUGUUUUUAAGCCUCAA
Long non-coding RNA from Glycine soja, 897 nucleotides. RefSeq lists it as uncharacterized. The record is from RefSeq and is a predicted model, not a curated record. NCBI's taxonomy places the organism in Eukaryota, Viridiplantae, Streptophyta, Magnoliopsida, Fabales, Fabaceae. The transcript is spliced from 2 exons.